GCAUUGGGUGUUGCAAGGUUCUUAAGCUGCGCUCACUGGGUUCUCCAGGUUUUGGAUAGUCGCGGCCAUCUGCUGGUAGCAUUGGGUCAUGGUCUAUGGCCUUCUAUGGUUUUGAUAUCUGAAAUAGUUCAAACCUUUAUCCUAGCAGACUUUUGUUACUACUAUGUUAAAAGUGUUUUCGGUGGACAGCUGGUAAUGCGCCUUCCUUCUGGGGUCGUGUAACUUACGAUUGUGAUAGUUAUGGACAGAAAUUUCACAUUCGUUUGUCACUUUUCUUUUGGUUAUCUUGGGUUUCUGUAGAAGGUCCCAGCUCUUGUCUAGGACCCUUGAGGCGCAAUGCACCUUUUGUGAAGUUAGCACUAUCUUAAUUAUAUAAGCAGUAGAUUUUCUUGCUAUGAUAGACUAUUUUACUUUGUUUAGCAGGUAGCACUAACAUAUGGCUUUUGGAUAUGUACUCAUUUUUG
This 464-nucleotide unclassified non-coding RNA is filed under the name Hevea brasiliensis (rubber tree). Lineage: Eukaryota; Viridiplantae; Streptophyta; Magnoliopsida; Malpighiales; Euphorbiaceae. The record is from RNAcentral.